RNAcentral lists this ribosomal RNA (506 nucleotides) under uncultured bacterium. RNAcentral's name for it is "partial 16S ribosomal RNA". It matches the Rfam family "Bacterial small subunit ribosomal RNA", at positions 30 to 523 of the family's 1533-position model. The record is from RNAcentral.
AUUGAACGCUGGCGGCAGGCUUAACACAUGCAAGUCGAGCGGUAACAGAGAGAAGCUUGCUUCUCUGCUGACGAGCGGCGGACGGGUGAGUAAUGCCUAGGAAUCUGCCUAGUAGUGGGGGAUAACUUGCCGAAAGGUAAGCUAAUACCGCAUACGUCCUACGGGAGAAAGGAGGGGACCUUCGGGCCUUUCGCUAUUAGAUGAGCCUAGGUCGGAUUAGUUAGUUGGUGAGGUAAUGGCUCACCAAGGCCGCGAUCCGUAACUGGUCUGAGAGGAUGAUCAGUCAAACUGGAACUGAGACACGGUCCAGACGCCUACGGGAGGCAGCAGUGGGGAAUAUUGGACAAUGGGGGGAACCCUGAUCCAGCCAUGCCGCGUGUGUGAAGAAGGUCUUAGGAUUGUAAAGCACUUUAAGUUGGGAGGAAGAGCAGUUAACUAAUAUUUGACUGUUUUGACGUUACCGACAGAAUAAGCACCGGCUAACUUCGUGCCAGCCGCCGCCGUAA